CCUACAUAAAAAGGGAUACUUUCUUAUUACACUGCGUUUGUAAAAGAAAUAUCUUCCCUACCUUUAGUUUAAUUUGGAAGAUAUUUGUUUCUAGUCGGAAGUAAAUAAGACGUGCACCAGGCUGUCAGUGCAUUACAAUAGUGUCCUGAACGUAAAGAACUACGUCAUAUAUAGAAACUAUUAUUUAUUAUAUCAUGCCAUAAUUAGUGCACAUUUAUAGGGAAAGUAGAAUUUAUUAGUAUUUAAGAGGUUUUAGAAAUUUGAGCCUUUUUUUUUGCCAAGCAGAUGCCUCCGAAGGAUCCAUGCCAGAAGCAAGCUUGUGCCAUACAGAAGUGUUUACAAGAUUAGAAACCUUCAUCAAAAAAUUCAUCGCCAGGCAGCACUCAGACGCGAGUCUGUGCCCACGAGAGCCUCAGAUUCCUGUUCUUGGCUGACAGGAGAGGAACCUGAUGUGAACCUGAUGUGCUCUUCCUCUGUUGUAGCUCAUCCACCUCAAGGUUUGAUGUGUUGUGCAUGCUGAGAUGCUUUUCUGCUCACCACAGUUGUAAAGAGUGAUUAUUUGAGUUACUGUAGACUUCCUGUCAGCUCAAACCAGUCUGAUCAUUCUCCUCUGACCUUUCUCAUCAACACAGUGUUUAAGCCUGCAGAUCCUCCACUCACAGGAUGUUUUUUGUUUUUUGCACCAUUCUGUGUAAACUUCUAGAGACUGGUGUGUGUGAAAUUCCCAGGAGAUCAGCAGCUUCUGAAAUCCUCAAACCAGCCCAUUUGGUACCAACAGCCAUGUCACGGAUCACUUUUUCUUCAUUCUGAUGUUUGAUGUGAACAUUAACUGAAGCUCUUGAUCUGUAUCUGUAUGAUACAGGCCUAUAUUUAUAUUUAUAUUUAUAUUUAGGCCUAUAUAAAAUGACAUCUAAAAAAUAUUUAAUCUGUGUAUUUGAAAUAAAUUUCUAAUUGGAACUUAAGCAUAAUUUGUAUAUAAAAGUGCGGUAACUCAUCACAAAUUGCAAGAUUCAAAGCCGAUCAAUUGAGGUUUACACUAAUUAGACUUCUUAUGCAUUAAUGUGUGUAAACGCUCAUAUGAAUGAUUUACGAAUAAAUCUGAUCGUAUCCUACUUGUGCUCCUGAGUGUGUGUAAAUUUACGUAUAAGAAGACUAACUAAUGUAAAUCUCGACUUGAUCGACUUCAGAUCCUAUAAUCUGCAGGGAUUACUGCACUUUUCUAUCCGGAAUAUUCUGUGGAGUUUAAACUGUUUGUGUUUAUGACGUUUGCAGCGUUUAGCAGACGCCCUUAUCCAGAGCGACUGAUAGAAGAGCUUUAGAGUCUCGAUCAGAAACACGUCCUCAUGCUAGUUCACUCGCUCAGGGACUCAGAGCUCCGUCCACAACAUUUACUCAAAACCAGACGCUUUAUUUUAUUGGUGUUAAUUAAAGAAUAUAAAAAAUAAAGAAAGUGAGGCAACACACACACUCAUAAAAGAAAUGGUGGUGUAUAAAUGGAGGACGGGCCGCUCUGUCUGCGCAGAGCCGUAAGCCGUAAACAAACACCUCAGCUGAUGGAGGAUUUAGUGUUCACUUACUACUACUACUACUAUUAUUAAUUAUUAAUAUUAAAUAUUUUUAAUGGUGUAGAAGUGAGUCAAAAUAACUUCCACUUCUGUUUUUCAGUCUUCACCCUGAUCCCUCAUUUCGUGCUCCCUGCUGUCUGUGCACUUUACCUUUUAUGGAGUUUUGUAGGCGUCACUACAUGCAAAUCAGCUGUGUGGGAAACACAUUGUGCAUGUUACAGCUGAUCAACACACACACACACGUGAGUACAAAGAAAAUCCACAUUUCUGAAACUUUCGUAAAAUUUUACAGAACUUUUGUAAAACUUUUCGGAAAAUUUUAGUUCGGUUUAGCUUUCACAAACAUUUACACACAACUUCAGUAAAAGAUUGAUAAAUGAAGCCCGCUGAUGGUAUCGUUGCUAUUUAAACUCUCUUAUUUGGCUGUCAGUGGUUUGGGGUGAGAUAUCUUUUCAUUUCACACAUUUCAUGAUAAGGCAAUAAGCGUAUAGUUUGCGGUUUGGGACGCAGCCCUGAGCGUGUGUAUUGACGUGCUUUUUGCAGCAUUCAUGCACAAAAACAAAUCCACAAACCUUAAAACUCCAACAACCAACUCGACUGAGUUGAAAGUUAAAUACAAGACUGAGAACAACUGUUGUUGAACUUUAACUGUUUAUUUAUGGAUAUGAAAAGAAGGAAUUACAACUUUUUUUUCCUUGAAUCCCAUUUAUUAGCCACGAUGAAUUCAAGCUUUAUAAUCCGCUGAAGGGAAAAUUCUUAAACACUUUUUAAAUCUGUAAUAUUCAUCACUUUACACACAGUGCUUAAAGGUUGCCUUAUGUAUGUAUGUAUGUAUGUAUGUAUGUAUGUAUGUACAGAUAUUUGGACAUACAUAUUUAAAUAUGUACCAUGAUCUUUAAUAUCCCAAAAUAUAAUCCGGAAUGGUUUAAAGAAAAUGUCACACUGAAAGGAGAAAUGAUCACCAAAAUGUGAAAAUAAUACCAAAAGGCACAAAAUCAGUGCAAAUAUUUAAAUGCUGGCUGUCAUGCAAUAUAUAACCACCUACAA
Molecule: RNA transcript, 2612 nt
Organism: Pangasianodon hypophthalmus (striped catfish)
Lineage: Eukaryota; Metazoa; Chordata; Actinopteri; Siluriformes; Pangasiidae
Gene: cmc4
Gene name: C-x(9)-C motif containing 4 homolog (S. cerevisiae)
Exons: 2
Source: RefSeq, a predicted model, not a curated record